GCUGGGUGUGGUGGCUCACUCCUGUAAUCUCAGUGGCUUGGGAGGCUGAGACAGGAGAAUCGCGAGUUCAAAGCCAGCCUCAGAAAUGGUGAGGCACUAAGCAACUCAGUUAGACCCUGUCUCUA
Molecule: small RNA, 125 nt
Filed under: Marmota monax (woodchuck)
Lineage: Eukaryota; Metazoa; Chordata; Mammalia; Rodentia; Sciuridae
Source: RNAcentral